RNAcentral lists this long non-coding RNA (3113 nucleotides) under Panax ginseng (ginseng). RNAcentral describes it as "long non-coding RNA (PGIN_LNC003879)". The record is from RNAcentral. Lineage: Eukaryota; Viridiplantae; Streptophyta; Magnoliopsida; Apiales; Araliaceae.
UAAGGGUAAGCUUUUAAACUAUGCCAAGAAACCAACAUGGCCAGCAUCUGUUGCACGUUGUUGCCAUUAGGUAGCAGCUUCAACUUCUUGCUGACUGCUGUUGCCAUUAGGCAGCAGCUGCACCCUCGCCUUGCAUAGCCUAACUCCCCCGUGUUGAUUAUGUGUUAGAUAUCAUACAAGUGAUACCUUCAGCCAUUACCAAAGGAGUCUAGCUGGGAAUUCCUAUAAGACCAUAAGCUAACCCCUCCGUUCAUCGAACCGGAAAAGGUACCGGGUGCUUUAAUAUGCAGCAUUUAAAUUUGAUAAUAUGCAGCAUUUAAAUUUGAUAAUUGUUUUGUGCUUUUGUUAGUUUUUUGUUUUUUCAUAUGAGAAUGUUUCUUUCUCUUUCUCUCGUAUUUAUUGUUGUCUCUAUAGAAGUUACUACCAAGGUUUUCAUAACCGAACCGUUUAUCGAACCGAAAAAGGUACCGGGUGGACGGAUCACUAGUCCAACCAGUAGUCGACCCAGUGACGUCAUUAAUAUAUAAAAAUAUUUAUUAUUAGUAAUUAAUAAAAAUUUUAAAAAUCUCAUUUUUCAUGAACUAAAACAUAAUAAAGAUGAGUUAUAAUAUUAAUAAAAGUAGUUAAUUUUAAUAUUAAAAAUUUUUUGGUAAAAAAAAUAAUAAUUAAAAAUCGGGUCAACUGGGUCAAUUAACCGGGUUUACCGAUUGGACUGGUGGUCGGGUUUUGACCAAAACCGAGUCACCGGGCUAAAUCAGACCAGAAUGCGAACCAGUUCUGAUUUUUAUCGGUCCGACCGCAUGUCUGGUCCGGUUCAGGUUUUAAAACAUUGGUUACUACUCCCUCCAUUCCUAUUAGGGUUAAAUAAACUUAUGUCCCUCGAAGUAUGACCCAUUUUAUACUUGUGACCCUAAUGUUUAAAACCUCACAUUAUCAUACUCGAAGUGCACUUAAGUAAACAAAAGUGACCCUAAAUUCAUUUCCGAUCAAAAAACUGCCCGAGUGCUGACAUGUCACCAGAAAAAUCAUAUUUUUAUAAUUUUCAACGUAUUUUAGUGUAUUUUACCAUUAAAAAAAAUAAUACAUGUAUUUAUUAAAUUCGUAUACUUAUAUUAAAGUCGUAUAAUUUGAUUAUAAAAUUAUAAAUACAAUUUAAAAUUAUAAAAAAAUUAUAAAUGCAAUUUAAAAUUAUAAAAAAUUAUAAAAGCAAAUUUAAAACAUUAGGAAACAAAUUAAAGAUAACGGAUUGGACUCUUUUCUUUUUCUCAUAAAAAAAAAAUUAACACAAACAAAGAAUAAAUAAAUUACACUAUUUUCCUUUUCUGGCAUAAAUUUUAAAUUCCCUCCUCUCUUCUUCUAAACUUUGAGUACUUUGGGUCCAUAAACAAAUUACGGAGGGAGCAUAUGAGCAGCGUCAAGUAAUGAAGAAGCUGUGGAUGGUUAAGGUACUCUCCAAAACUGUAGCGAUUACAUUUUUUUUCCUAGUAAAUAAAAUAAAAAUAAAUAAAAUUUUUAUUUUUAUUUUAAUGAGUUGUAUGAUGUGGCAUACUUUAUUUGUUGCAAUAUAAAAUAUGCGUAUGUGUGAUACGUGAUAUGAUGAAUAUAUUAGAAUAUAUAUAUAUAUAUAUAUAUAUAUAUAUAUAUAUAUAUCGCAUAAAUAAAUUAUGGAAGCAAAUUAUUUUGUGGAUAUUAAAGUAAUGUAUGAAAAAUAAAUUAUUUUAAUUAAUUUAAUAAAUAAAAUAUUUUUAUUUAAUAAAUAUUUUUCAUUUGGAUGGAAAUAAUUCAUGGAUAUUUUAUCCGAAUUUUCAGGGUGCAUUUGGUAUAUUUAAAAGGAUGAAUUACAUAUUCUAUUACAUUUUUAAGAAUAAUUACAACAAUAGUGCCCUCAUAAAAUCUUUACACAACUAAUACACUUCCAUAUUUAUUUACAAUAAUAGUUCAAUUAGGAUUCCUUAAUUUAGGGAAUUAGUAUUCAAUUAGAAUUCCUUAAUUUAUGGCUUCUUCUCUCUCCUCAUCUAUAACAACUGCAUUAGUUAGUCAUCACCCUUCUUAUUCAUUCAACGUAUUCUUUAUAUAUAUAUAUAUAUAUAUAUGUUCCCUUGGCGACUAAUUAUGUACUCAUAUGGUAUCAGAUUCAUGCCAUCCCUAACCGCUGUAACCAAACAACACUCGGCAACAACAUAAUAAGCAAUUCUCUUAGAAAAUUUCAGGGGCUGAUCAAUCAAGACAACUGGCUUAUAUCCUGGUUUCCCAAAUGUACCAUUAAUUCGCUUCACUGUGGAGUAUGUCUCAGCCUGAACUUCCUUUAUAUCUUUUGCUCGACCCCUAGCUAUAUAUCCAAUUUGCCAUUCCUAGUGUCAUAUCAGUCAACCUCUCGUCAUCAUAUUUUCAUUGUCCAAAUCAUGUAUAUAUUUAUGAGUCAACCAACUGGAUAUCUCCCGUAGCUUCUCAAAAUAAAGGGUCAAAAUGGAGGUGGGUAUGAAGAUUCAGACGGUGGUGGCGGUGGAUAUGAACACUGGAUGAUGGUAACCUAACAUUCAUACCAAGGUAACCAAACUGUCAUAUCAAAGUAACAAAUCAACCUCCACACUUUAAAUUUUUUCUUAGUACAGUUGGUUACCAAAUCUUCGUACCAAGGUAACAAAACCUUCAUACCAAAGUAACUAAUUCACAUCCACACCUGCAAUUUUUUCAUAGUGCAGUUGGUAGCCAAACCUUCAGACCAAGGUAACCAAUUUAAUUUUAUUAAGUUACCAAUUUCGUUUGAAUGUGAUGCAGUUGGUAGUCAACCAUUCAUAUAAAGGUAACCAUUUUAUUAUUUAUGAGUAACAAAAUAGUUAUAAAAAAAAUUUCAUAACAUUAAAAGUUACAUCUAUUUAUUUUUAAAUUUUUUGUAGGGCGAAUCUUCUUCUUAUUCUCAUUGGCGUUUUGGAUAACGGAGAUUCACGGCGGUGUAGCGGCGGAGUAUGUGAGGUGUAGCGGCAGACUAUUAUUUCAAAGUAUAUGUGAGGGAGACGAAGAUUUGAAUUUGAAUAUUUAAAUUUGAAUUAUUAUUUUGAAUUUGAAUUUAUUUUUGUUAUUAGAUCCAAAUAUUUGAAUUUGAAUUAUUAAUU